UUCAGUAAUAUGAUGAAGCAUUACACUAUCCACCAAAAAAAGGGUAGAUCUACCCAAGAAUCACUUGGUAUCGAUCGCAGAAAUCAAGGAUAAUCGAGUCUAUCUCUAGGGGAGAGGACUCGAUAAGAUUAUCAGGACCCAAGGUGAAUGGGUGGGUGUGCAUGUGAAGGAAGCCAUCCUUAUAGUCAGUUAUAUGAUUGUUAGGACAUGGAAUCUCCACCCUCACUGCCUUGCUCCAUCGAUAGUCCUUCCCUACCUUGCUAAUAUCGAUCACGAUGCUAACAUAUCGGGACAAAUACUAGCACCAGCCUGGUGUAGAUGAAGUGGCACGGACACUAAAAUCCUCUAACAUAUCGAGAUCAGGUGCGGUACAUUGUUCUAUAGAGGGAAUCACUCUGGUUUAUUCCUUAGGCGAUCGGGAUGAUAAUGCAUCAUUGUUCUGUCGAGGAACCGUUCUAGAGUCCUAGCCAUGUCACUAGUAAAAAUCCUUCUAUGAAAAGAUGAAAGAGUGUCAAAUAUAAAAAUUCUGACUCGUGAGCUUGGAAGUGAGGUGAAAGUGGAAAGUAUCAAGCAACCAAUGCAUUUAUAAGAACCGCUAGGGAAGCGAAAAGGAUGAGCCAAUAGUAGUUCUUAGGUUUCUUGAUUACUGCAUCUGACGGCGGUGUUGCACAGUUCAACGGAAUAUGGCAUUUAAUGAUCUUUAGCAGUUGACAUCACUACAAUGAUGACCUCGAGAUGACGGUUCAAAACUUAUUUCGUAUUACUUCAUUCUAGGAAAUGCGGAGACUAUCUGUAUACAGUAAAGUCGGAGGAGUCAAUUUCUCACCACUAAGGUGCAUUCGGGGAGUUAUAUUAGUAUCUCGAGGCUGCAAGACUACGAUCGAGCUCCCUCCCCCGAGGUUCGCCCACGACCCAACAAAUAUUUUGAGGGUGGGGAUUUUUCGAGGCGAACAACCAGCAUCAACAGAGUCUAGCAUCGUGCCUAGCCGUCCCAUCCUCAUAUCUUUAAAUUUAAU
This 1016-nucleotide long non-coding RNA is filed under the name Nicotiana benthamiana. Its description in RNAcentral is "long non-coding RNA (NBEN_LNC014228)". Lineage: Eukaryota; Viridiplantae; Streptophyta; Magnoliopsida; Solanales; Solanaceae. The record is from RNAcentral.